GUCCAGACUCCUACGGGAGGCAGCAGUGAGGAAUAUUGGUCAAUGGGAGAGAUCCUGAACCAGCCAAGCCGCGUGAGGGAAGACGGCCCUAUGGGUUGUAAACCUCUUUUGUCGGAGAACAAAACCCGGGACGUGUCCCGGACUGCGUGUAUCCGAAGAAAAAGCAUCGGCUAACUCCGUGCCAGCAGCCGCGGUAAUACGGAGGAUGCGAGCGUUAUCCGGAUUUAUUGGGUUUAAAGGGUGCGCAGGCGGCCUGUAAAGUCAGGGGGAAAGGCGGGGGGCUCAACCCCGGCGAGCCGUUGAAACUGGCGGGCUGGAGUUGGAGAGAAGUACGCGGAAUGCGCGGUGUAGCGGUGAAAUGCUUAGAUAUCGCGCAGAACCCCGAUUGCGAAGGCAGCGUACCGGCUCCACACUGACGCUGAGGCACGAAAGCGUGGGUAUCGAACAGGAUUAGAUACCCCCGUA
RNAcentral lists this ribosomal RNA (465 nucleotides) under uncultured bacterium. RNAcentral's name for it is "bacterial SSU rRNA". It matches the Rfam family "Bacterial small subunit ribosomal RNA", at positions 329 to 792 of the family's 1533-position model. The record is from RNAcentral.